UACGUAGGGGGCAAGCGUUGUCCGGAUUUACUGGGCGUAAAGCGCGUGUAGGCGGGAGAGGCAGUCCGGUGUGAAAGCCCACGGCUCAACCGUGGAAGGUCGCUGGAAACUCUUCUUCUUGAGGCGGACAGAGGGAAGUGGAAUUGCUGGUGUAGCGGUGAAAUGCGUAGAUAUCAGCAGGAACACCCGUGGCGAAGGCGGCUUCCUGGGUCCGACCUGACGCUGAGACGCGAAAGCGUGGGGAGCGAACGGG
RNAcentral lists this ribosomal RNA (253 nucleotides) under uncultured bacterium. RNAcentral's name for it is "partial 16S ribosomal RNA". It matches the Rfam family "Bacterial small subunit ribosomal RNA", at positions 524 to 776 of the family's 1533-position model. The record is from RNAcentral.